This 60-nucleotide transfer RNA is filed under the name bacterium. RNAcentral describes it as "tRNA-Asn". It matches the Rfam family "tRNA", at positions 7 to 64 of the family's 71-position model. Rfam says of the family: Transfer RNA (tRNA) molecules are approximately 80 nucleotides in length. Their secondary structure includes four short double-helical elements and three loops (D, anti-codon, and T loops). Further hydrogen bonds mediate the characteristic L-shaped molecular structure. tRNAs have two regions of fundamental functional importance: the anti-codon, which is responsible for specific mRNA codon recognition, and the 3' end, to which the tRNAs corresponding amino acid is attached (by aminoacyl-tRNA synthetases). tRNAs cope with the degeneracy of the genetic code in two manners: having more than one tRNA (with a specific anti-codon) for a particular amino acid; and 'wobble' base-pairing, i.e. permitting non-standard base-pairing at the 3rd anti-codon position. The record is from RNAcentral.
GUAGCUCAAUUGGUAGAGCGGGUGGCUGUUAACCACUAGGUUGGGGGUUCAAGUCCCUCC